RNAcentral lists this ribosomal RNA (226 nucleotides) under uncultured bacterium. RNAcentral describes it as "partial 16S ribosomal RNA". It matches the Rfam family "Bacterial small subunit ribosomal RNA", at positions 108 to 334 of the family's 1533-position model. The record is from RNAcentral.
CGGUAACGCGUAUGCAAUCUACCUUUUACAGGGGAAUAGCCCAGAGAAAUUUGGAUUAAUGCCCCAUGGUGUAUUUGAGUGGCAUCACUUGAUCACUAAAGUUCCAACGGUAAAAGAUGAGCAUGCGUCCCAUUAGCUGGAUGGUAAGGUAACGGCUUACCAUGGCUACGAUGGGUAGGGGUCCUGAGAGGGAGAUCCCCCACACAGGUACUGAGACACGGACCAG